AUUGAACGCUGGCGGCAGGCCUAACACAUGCAAGUCGAGCGGAAGAAGGGAGCUUGCUCCUGGAUUCAGCGGCGGACGGGUGAGUAAUGCCUAGGAAUCUGCCUGGUAGCGGGGGAUAACGUCCGGAAACGGGCGCUAAUACCGCAUACGUCCUGAGGGAGAAAGUGGGGGAUCUUCGGACCUCACGCUAUCAGAUGAGCCUAGGUCGGAUUAGCUAGUUGGUGGGGUAAAGGCCUACCAAGGCGACGAUCCGUAACUGGUCUGAGAGGAUGAUCAGUCACACUGGAACUGAGACACGGUCCAGACUCCUACGGGAGGCAGCAGUGGGGAAUAUUGGACAAUGGGCGAAAGCCUGAUCCAGCCAUGCCGCGUGUGUGAAGAAGGUCUUCGGAUUGUAAAGCACUUUUAGUGGGGAGGAAGGGCAGUAAGUUAAUACCUUGCUGUUUUGACGUUACCAACAGAAUAAGCACCGGCUAACUUCGUG
This 484-nucleotide ribosomal RNA is filed under the name uncultured bacterium. RNAcentral's name for it is "partial 16S ribosomal RNA". It matches the Rfam family "Bacterial small subunit ribosomal RNA", at positions 30 to 507 of the family's 1533-position model. The record is from RNAcentral.